RNAcentral lists this ribosomal RNA (459 nucleotides) under uncultured bacterium. RNAcentral's name for it is "partial 16S ribosomal RNA". It matches the Rfam family "Bacterial small subunit ribosomal RNA", at positions 338 to 795 of the family's 1533-position model. The record is from RNAcentral.
CCUACGGUGGGCAGCAGUGAGGAAUAUUGGUCAAUGGGCGCGAGCCUGAACCAGCCAAGUCGCGUGAGGGAAGACGGUCCUAUGGAUUGUAAACCUCUUUUGUCGGGGAGCAAAAGACGCCACGCGUGGCGUUCCGAGAGUACCCGAAGAAAAAGCAUCGGCUAACUCCGUGCCAGCCGCCGCGGUACUACGGAGGAUGCGAGCGUUAUCCGGAUUGAUUGGGGUUAAAGGGUGCGCAGGCGGAAGAUAAAGUCAGCGGUAAAAUUGAGAGGCUCAACCUCUUCGAGCCGUUGAAACUGGUUUUCUUGAGUCCGCGGAAGGCAGGCGGAAUUCGUCGUGUAGCGGUGAAAUGCUUAGAUAUGACGAAGAACCCCGAUUGCGAAGGCAGCUUGCUGCAGCGGAACUGACGCUGAUGCUCGAAAGCGCGGGUAUCGAACAGGAUUAGAUACCCUGGUAGUC